GGCUUUGGGUGCUCCGGGCCUAGCAGAGUGUCUGUAGGGCUGGAGCCCAAGGCCUUGGGGUGGGAGCAAGAAGCCAGGGCGGGGCCCUGGGCGCUGACUUCCAUUUUACCUCCCCAGACUUAUGCCAGUGGAGUCCUUGGGGGCCCUGGAGCCCCUGUCAGGUGUCGUGCAGUGGGGGCUUCCGGCUACGCUGGAGGGAGGCAGGGGGCCCCCCUGGAGGAGGCUGCCGGGGGCCUUGGGCUCAGACUGAGAGCUGCAACGUGGAGCCCUGCCCAGGUAACCCCCAUCCUGGCAUCUGGAGGCGGGGCCAAGGACUGUAACACGGGAGAUAGCACCUGAUGAGGAGGUGGCCUCUGCUCCUGGAGGCGUGCCCUGGAGGGCAGGGUGCUGUCCUGGGGGCCCAAAAGUCGGUCCCCAACACAGACUCCUACCUUCUGGUCCUCAGGGGAGAGCUGUGAAGCCCAGGACACCGUGCCCACCCUUGACUGUGCCAACCAGUGCCCUAGAAGCUGUGUGGACCUCUGGGACCGCGUGCAGUGUCUGCAGGGACCAUGCCGUCCAGGUGGCCGGGCCACGCCCACAGCCCAGCCUGGGAGCCCUAGGGCCUCAGACCAGAGCAGCUUGCUUCGCUGAUCCCUACCAGAGAGCAUGUGACCUGCGGGCGGGGACAUGUUACAGGAUCAGGGGUUAUAGGGCAGCAAAGUGGAUCCUUGGGUCACUUUCAGCACCUGGGUAGGGGUCCUGCGUAGAGCGAGCCUUACCUAACACAGGCUUUGUCUGUGAGGACGUUCUGGCAGCCUCAGGGGUCCCUGGGGUGGGGCCCACACAGGGUGGGCUGGAGUGACCCCUUCCUGUGCUCCAGCAGUGGAAACAGUGUGGAGACCGGGUCAAGUGGGGACUCGGGGGGCUGGGGUAGGGGAGGGUGCUCCAGGGUCAGCCUGAAGCUCCGGACCCCAUCUGGCUGCCAGAGGGACCCAUGAUGUGUGCCCGAACCUUGCUUGUCCUCCCCACCCCCCUCAGGCUGCCGCUGCCCCCCUGGCCAACUGGUGCAGGAUGGGCGCUGUGUGCCCAUCUCCUCCUGCCGCUGUGGCCUCCCCAGCCCCAAUGCCUCAUGGGUGGUGGCCCCAGCCGAGGUGGUACAGCUGGACUGCAAAAACUGGUAUGGCUGCCCACUGGUGGCCAAGCAGGGGAUGGGGAGUUUUAGGUGGGAGGCUUGGGACAGGUCAGGGUGGAGGGCGUUAGCGGGAAGCAAAGGCUCUGUUCCCCUUGACUUGUGCCCUUGACCCCUGUCCGCAGCACCUGUACCAACGGGUCCCUAGUGUGCCCACGCCAUGAGUGCCCAGUCCUUGGGCCUUGGUCAGCCUGGAGCAGCUGCUCUGCUCCCUGUGGUGGGGGCAGCAUGGGGCGACGUAGGAGCUGUGAGGAGGGUCCUAUAGGGGCGCCAUGCCAGGCCCAGGACACAGAGCAACGGCAGGAAUGUAACCCGCAGCCCUGCCCUGGUGAGCACCUGGGGUGGGGGAGUGAGGGGGGAGCCUCCCUGCCCUCUGGUGCUGCUGAGCUCGGCCGGCGUUCAACAGCGUGGGCGGUGGGUCCCGAGGCGGUCCCCUCCCUGGUACUCCACCUCACCAUCUGUGCGCUCCCCCCAGAGUGCCCGCCUGGCCAGGUGCCCAGUGCCUGUGCCGCUUUGUGCCCACGCCUCUGCUCGCAUCUGCAGCCUGGUGCCCUCUGUGCGCAGGAACCCUGCCGGCUCGGCUGUGGCUGCCCCGGAGAGCAGGUAUGGACAGUGCCCUGACUGCCGUAUGGGGGGGCAGGCAGGUGGGGGGCAGAGAAGUGUGGUGUGAGCAGAACUGAGCCCGCGCCUUCCUGCCGCAGCUGCUGCACAAUGGCACGUGUGUGCCCCCUGCGGCGUGCCCCUGCACCCAGAUCUCUCUGCCCUGGGGCCUUACCUUGACUCUUGAAGAACAGGCCCGGGAGCUUCCCCCAGGAACUGUGCUCACCUGGAACUGCACGCGCUGGUGAGGGCCCCGGGCAGGGGGGACAGGGGGAGGAGGGAGCUAGGGCAGGGAGGGGGUGGAGGGCAGCAUUGCUGAGAAGGGGGGUGGGGAGGAGGGCACCGGAGGCGUCCGAACACGUGCUUCUGUCUUCCCAGUAUCUGCCAAGAUGGAGCCUUCAACUGCUCCCCAGCUGACUGUCGUGGUGAGAUGUGGCUGUCUAGGCCCCUGCUGGUCCUUCCAAAGCCAGGGUGGGGUUGGCCCCGAUGAGGGCAGAGGGCGCUGCCUGCCCUAGGCAAAGCUGUCUCUCCCAAGAAGCCCCUUCCUUGCUCCGUCCACACUGGUGUUGGGGGCAUUCCUGUGAGCACACGGCUGUGAGUGAUGCAGGAAGUGGAGGGUCUUUCCCUGCAGAUGAGGAAGCAAAGGCUGAGGGUGAGCUAAAGUAGGACCCUUGUCUGGCAUCUGCCCUGUGCUGUUUUACCCCCAUCUGAUCAAAGUCAACAGGCGUUUGCUAAGGGCUCACAGGUGCCCAGCUCGGGCACACUGGGCUCUGUGUGGAUUCAGAGGCACACAGGCCUGGUGAGUCCUGAGCAGCCCCAGUCUGGCUGCUGAGGGCCAGCUCACCCACCGGAACAGGUAGGGACAGGAGACAGUUUCUGGCUCACUGACCAGCAGGCUGCACCCACAGGACUGGAAAUCGGUGCCAUGAAUGGAGAGGUCAGGGUGGACAGGACUGGUCAGGGGAGGCUUCCUGGAGAAGGCCAGACUCGAGUUAGGCCCCGUUAGUAUUUGGAAGGUGGAUAAGAGCAGACGGGCAUGUUUGGAGGCCUAGAGGCCCAGAGCCAGCCGAGUGGACAGCACUGGGAAGGCAGGAGGGACUCUAGGGGUGUCUGGUGUGGGAGGGGGGAGAAUCGAAGCCGGACCCAGGGCUGACCUGAGUGGUGGUGGUGGUGGUGGGGUCUUCCCUGGCAGAGUGCCCCUCCGGGGAAAUGUGGCAGCAGGUGGCCCCUGGGGAGCCAGGGCCCUGCGAGCGGACGUGCCGGGAGCCCAAUGCCACGGAGACCCAGGGCAGCUGCGGUGUGGGGCAGGCCCCAGGCUGUGUGUGCCAGCACGGACACUUCCGCAGCCAGGCGGGCCCGGGCCCCUGCGUGCCCAUAGACCACUGCGAGUGCUGGCACCGUGGGCGUCCCCACCCGGUGAGACACUGUAGCCCCUCCGGGCCACCCAGCCCUCCCCCACCCCCGCCCCCCUCCACUGGCUCCUCCCCCUGUGCCAGGAUCUGCAGCAGCAGACAGCUCGGCCAUCAGCCAUCACCCAUCACACGGGGACAGUCUCCAGGCCCCAUCAGCCCACCUCCCUCCCGAGACUCUUGUCCCUGACUUUGGUCUCUGGCCCCUGUCCUGACUGGUUUCAGGGAUGAGGGAUUGGCGGGGGGUGGGGGAGGGUGUAGUAUAGAAAAGUCUAACUGGCAGAGAUGGGUAGAGAUGGACGGGAGGGUUCUCCCCUCUCCCCAGCCUGGAUCCGAAUGGCAGGAGGCCUGUGAGAGCUGCCGCUGCCUCCGUGGGAGGAGUGUCUGCACCCAGCACUGCCCCCUCCUCACCUGUGCCCAGGUACCCGCCUGCAGCCCUGCUGCCCUCCUUCCUGGGUCCCUCCCCAGAGGCUGGUCUUAGGGCCUUGAGCAGGCAGUGCUGGGGCCCUGGGGUCAUCCUCCUGAGUGCACUGGGGACCACUCCCUCUGCAGGGCGAGGUGACCGUGCAGGAACCAGGGAGCUGCUGUCCCACUUGCCGCCGAGAGGCUCCGGGUAUGCCGGGGACCUGGGGCACUUCCUGCCAUGCCUCUCCCUGCUCUGGGCCCUUCUCCCAAACUGCUCCCGUGCCCACCCUAGGGGGCCUGCCGUCCCCAGUGCCGCCCACCAUGGGGAUCAGCAGAGUGGUGACGCCCAGUGCUGCAUCAUGGCGCCUGGCCACCGCUGCCCCAACAGCCUCAGGUGCCCCUCAGGUCCACAGUGUCCCCUUUACACAGAGUCCCCGCAUCGAGGCCCUUUCUCUCUGCCCUGCUCCCGCCUUCUGUGCUCACCUUCUUCCCACAGAGGGGCAGGCAGCCUCCUGCCGGCAUCUCACGGAGCUGCGCAACGUCACCAAGGGCGCCUGCUACCUGGACCAGGUGGAAGUGAGCUACUGCAGUGGGCACUGCCCGUCCAGCAUCAGCGUCAUGCCUGAGGUGAGCGAGGGGGCUGCCGUGCAGGCCCAGGAGAGUCAGGUCAGCCUGCACCCCUGAGGGACUGCUGCGGCCAGCCUAGGCCUGGGCAGUGCCCAGGGGACACGAGGGACUCGGUUGAUCUCAAAGGGGCACAGCUCAGAGCCAGGGGCGAGUUUUCACCAAGGCGGUGGCCUGCACCUGCUGCUUGGCCCUGUCACCCUCAGCGGGGCUUGGGCCCCAAGCCUACUCCAGGCCUCCACCCUGUGCUGAGGGCUUCCCAGGACAUCAGCAAGAAAGGCACAAAGGACCUACGUUAGGCUCUGAAAUCACAGCCCAUCAUAUAGUGAGGACAAGUUCUUUAGGACAGACCAUUUACACACAGCAUUGUCCCAGACAUUCCUGGCAAGGCAUAUUAUGAGCACGUCCCAGAAGACCUCUGCCCUGCGCGUGCUCUCCUUGGACCCAGAAGGCCCAGCCCUGCUCCAUGUGCAGACCUUGUCAGGAGCUCUGUGCCCACCCUGACUCCCCUCAUCCUGAGCCUGGAGAGCUAUGGCUCCAGUUCUAGCCUGGGAGGGUCCUGGCCCUGCCUCAGCUCACCGAUGGUGUGGCCAUUCCCUCCUGUCUCGACCCACCUGGGUCAUCUACUCCUGGAAGACAGAGGUGCUUUCCUACCUAGUCCUCAACGCUUGGCCACUCUCUGCUCCCCUGGGUGCUCCCGGUACCUCCUGGUAUUCCCAGACCAUUCCCAAACAAUAUUUGGAUUUGUUAAAACAUAGGAGAGUGGUUAAGAGAUAAGUGAGUGAUAGAGGGAUAGAAAUCAGAUGGAGAUUUGUUUUUACUGAGGUACAAUUGACAUGCAAUGUUAGUUUCAGGCGCACACAUAGCGAUUCCACAAUUCUGUAAAUUACACAGCGCUCCCCACAAUAAGUGUAGUCGCCAUUCAGUGGUAUUGUGUUAUUACACAGCGCUCCCCACAAUAAGUGUAGUCACCAUUCAGUGGUAUUGUGUUAUUAACUAUACUCCCUAUGCUGUACUCUUCAUCCCCAGAGGGGUUUUUUUUUUUAACUGAAUCUUUUGUAACUCGGUGCUGUUGAAUACAGUGCCUAUUUCAAAAGUAAAAUUACAAUGGAAUUAUACAGAAGUUAGAUCAAAUAUUCGGUGACACUCACGUAGUUACUAUAUAAUCGAAUAGCAGGAGGGGUCUGGAGUGAGAACUCACUUUGCACUUAGGAUCACAAUUGUGCAGUUUAGAGCUUCCCACCUUGCAGCGUCAGAAAGUAUUAGAUCCGCCUAAGGGGAUGGUAAGCAAGCCCCUUGGGGUAGGGCCGUAUCUCUCCCCUGCUGCCAGGAGGCAGUGAUGAGCAGUUAAAAGCAUUCUUACCGUGCAGGUGCGCGCUCAGAUGGCUGGGGCUUACAGUGAAGGAGGUGGGCUUCUUGGGGAAACGGGAGCUUGAUGGCGACACAUCCCUUCCUUACCCCGCUGUCCUGCUUGGCCAGGAGUGUUGGGCCCUGGCCGUACCCCGGAUGGGAAGGCCAAGAGAGCGAAGGGAGGUGGCUCGGGCAAACUCGCGUGGCCCCUCCCCAGCUCAGCCACGCCCUCCCGCAGGAGCCAUACCUGCAGAGCCAGUGUGACUGCUGCAGCUACAGCCUGGACCCCGAGAACCCGGUGCGGGUCCUGCACCUGCGCUGUCCCGACGGCCACGCGGAGCCCGUGGUGCUGCCGGCCAUCCGCAGCUGCCAGUGCAGCGCCUGCCAGGGUGGGUCUGGGCGGGGCGGGGCUGGGGUGGGAGGGCCGGGGACCGAGGCUGGACACCUGCAGGGGCGGGGCCGGGCUUUCCGAAAGGCGCCCGGUUUCCCGAAGCUCAGGCCCUCGUGGGAUUCAUCCUUCUUGACCCCUUCUGACCCUCUUCGUCCCCCGUCUUGGCUUGCUUGUUGGCUUCGUCUCCAAUGCAGCGCAAGCUUGGGUGUUUGGAGUCGGUCACAGCUGCUUCCUCCCAGCUCAUCUGUUUCCUUCCUUGCUGAGCAUCCGUGACCUCAGCUUCGCGACCUGACUGACUGUGCACAGGCUUUUGGGGGGGGGGGCUUGGUGGGAGCGCAUGUGUGAAGCGCCUGCCAGGUGCCUGGUUCUUGAUAGGUCCCCGAGGCCACAUUGUGGCAGGUGAGAAACAGGGGCAGGGGCGCUCACAGCGCCUGGGUGGAGUGCAGGGCAAAAGCACGCCUUUCUCUGGGCUUCUUCCUGGCGGGGCUUCUCUCCUGCCAGUUUGCUCCACUGCUCCCCCUCUGGCUGCACCCCUUCCCGGCCUGACCACUGCCUCUGUGCCAGUGCAUCUCCCCCUUAUCUGUCCUCCAGGAGGUGAUUUCUCAAAGCACUGACGGUCCCGCUGGAUGAGGCUGCCCAGCCACCACCCCUCGUGCGAUCACCGGGCCCAGAGGCACCGACCCCCUCCUCCCGUGCCCACCCAUCCACUCCAUGCCCUGGUACCAGCAUAUCCCAAAUAAAGUGACAUCAGCA
This 6703-nucleotide long non-coding RNA is filed under the name Lynx pardinus (Iberian lynx). Lineage: Eukaryota; Metazoa; Chordata; Mammalia; Carnivora; Felidae. The record is from RNAcentral.